Electrophorus electricus (electric eel) is the source of this 623-nucleotide long non-coding RNA. RefSeq lists it as uncharacterized. Lineage: Eukaryota; Metazoa; Chordata; Actinopteri; Gymnotiformes; Gymnotidae. The record is from RefSeq and is a predicted model, not a curated record.
UGCUGCACAGAAAAACACUCCAUCAUCUUGUAGAGAGAGAUUCGAGAUGCUCACGGAUACAUUCGACCUUCCAUCUCCAUUCAGGGCAAUCCUCUGCUGCUCAGUGCACAAAAAUAUACUGCUGUGCCCUCAGAGAUUGCUCUUUCUUCUUCGUUGUGUGUGAUGGAGACUGAUUGACAUUCACAGCCACGGAGAACCUUAAGAAUUGUCAUGAAAAUAACAAUUAUUUUUACUGUACAUUAUUUCACACUUCAUAAUAAAAACAGAUAAUGAAGUUAAUGCAGGAUAUAUAUUAGAAUGGACAUCAGCAUACCAGUCAGCCAGAGAAGACAGAGAGCAAAUCUUCUGACACUAAGCAUGUUCAAAGUCAUUGUCAUGGUAAGAAACACAGUGAGAGCAGCCUUCUUUAAAAUUGUGAGAACUUCCAAAAGAAGAGGGGAACUCACCUCAUCAGCAAUAAUGUCACCCUCAUGUGCUCAUAAGACCUUUGAUAACAUUUCUUGUUAACAUGACGUGUAGAACACAGAAAAAAAGAGGCACAUUCUCCCUUUUUAAAAUCUGUAUUUUCAUUUCAUUUUAUUUUUUAUCAAUUAAAGUUGCAUUGUGUAAGAUGCGGGCAUAGC